RNA transcript from Pezoporus occidentalis (night parrot), 9144 nucleotides. It is a transcript of the gene named LRR binding FLII interacting protein 1, with no coding region annotated. The transcript is spliced from 9 exons. Lineage: Eukaryota; Metazoa; Chordata; Aves; Psittaciformes; Psittacidae. The record is from RefSeq and is a predicted model, not a curated record.
GUGAUUAUAGGGAGCACGUGUCUCAAGUCUAUCAGCAGCUACCUUAGCUUCUCUGGGGGGGACUUCUUCACGAAGAGGCAGUGGGGAUACGUCCAUCUCUGCUGAUACAGAGGCAUCUAUUAGAGAAAUAAAGGAUAUCUAUGAGUUAAAGAACCAGAUUCAGGAUGUAGAAGGCAAAUACAUGCAGGGACUGAAAGAAAUGAAGGACUCUCUAGCCGAAGUUGAAGAGAAAUAUAAGAAGGCUAUGGUGUCAAAUGCUCAACUAGACAAUGAAAAAACAAAUUUCAUGUACCAAGUAGAUACCCUGAAGGAUGCGCUCUUAGAGUUAGAAGAACAGCUGGCAGAGUCCAGGCGGCAAUAUGAAGAAAAAAGUAAAGAAUUUGAGAGGGAGAAGCAUGCUCAUAGCAUAUUGCAAUUUCAGUUCAUGGAAAUCAAAGAGGCUUUGAAGCAAAGAGAAGAAAUGCUUGCAGAAAUCCAACAGCUGCAACAGAAACAGCAGAGCUAUGUCAGGGAAAUUUCUGAUCUUCAGGAGACAAUAGAGUGGAAAGACAAAAAAAUAGGGGCGUUAGAGAGGCAGAAAGAUUUCUUUGAUUCCAUAAGGAGUGAGCGGGAUGACCUUAGAGAUGAAGUGGUUGUGCUGAAGGAGCAACUGAAGAAACAUGGAAUAAUCCCAGAUUCUGAUGUAGCCACCAAUGGGGAGACAUCAGACAUUCUUGAUAACGAAGAACACUUGGAUUCUUCCAAAACUGUUCCAGGCACAACUCAGGCAUUGAAGACUGGAGGGGAUGGGAUGUUAGGCAAAGCCAGUGAAGUGGACAUGAAAAAUGAGAUUUUGGAGGAUAUGGGGAAAAGAGAAAUCUUGCAGAAUACUGAGCAUGAGGAACACAAAGAGGAGUCUGAGGAGCAGGAAUUGCAUGCUGGUGAAAAUGCAAAGGCACAAAAAAUGGUUGAAGAAAGUGAUGCCCUGUCAACAGUGAUGUUACCAGAUAGCAGGUUUACAGUACAAAUUCAAAGCCUUACAGAACACGUAUCAGGGAGUACUUCUUCAAGUGAUGAUAAUGGUGCAGAUGAUUUGAGAAAGGUGGCAGAGUCUGCAGGCACAGCAGUCCAGCAGCCUGUCAGUACAGAGGCUGAACACUGUGACUUGAAUGCAGUGUCAAAUCAGAACUUGGAGGUGGGCUCUCUUCAAAGUCAUCAGAUGUUUGACCCUCCUCAGGAAAUGCAUAGUGACUUAGGUACAGAGCAUGAACUGGAAAAAGCUGCAUCCCAACAGCAAGAUCAAGAGGAUCUUAAAAGUAGCCAUGUCCUGAGUGAUAAUGAAAUGGAUCAAGAGGCCAAAAUCGCAAGUGAGAGCUGUGAGUUGGCUUCUAACCAGGCAGGGUUCCCAGAGGUUACAGCAGCAGGCUUAGUUAGUGAAGAGUUAAAAGUGGAGAGCCACACCGAGGCACUCCAGCACUCAGAAGAAAGUGCCGAAAACCAGGUUACAAGUGUCUUGGAGGAAAACUUUGUUGAAGGCCAAGACAGUACCGAUGGAAGAGCUGGAGAAACAGGUGAUAGAUCUGAACAAGAAAAUGAGGUUGGGAACACGGUUCAGGGUCAGUCGACGGAAACAGAGCCUGUGGGUUUGGAGGGGAUGGAGGCAUGUGGAAGUGGUGUCCCAGCAGCUGAAGUUGAAAAGGAAGGCGGAGGCCAUCAGGCAUUCAUUCAGUCAGUUUCUCCAGAGGGCAGUCCUUCAGCAUCAUCAGAGAAACAAAAUAUGCAGUAUGAAUCUGAACUUGAAAAUGCUAUGGCUGAGAAGGAUGGACAAAAGGAAGCAUUAACAGAAGAGCUGGAGAUGUGUUCAGAUUCUGCAGAAACAGGCAAACAGGAUAAGAUCUCUGUGGAGGCUGUGGACUUUAUUACUGAGAUAGAAGGAAGUGUUCUACAGCAGGCAGAGCCAGACAGAGAAAUUGUGGUGCAGCUCAUGACUCAGGAAACCAGUUUUGACCCAAGUCUUUUAGAUGACAGGAUUAAGGAGUCAGAAUUGGAAACAGGGGAUGAGUCUGGGACAGAAAAGGAAAGUAGGACAGAAUGGGUAGAAGAUACAAAGCUGAAAGUAGGAGUUCAAACUGUUCAGUCUAGUGAAGAAGCAAUAGGUGAGACCGUAGGAGAAAAAAAUACUCCUUUUGAAGGUGAAGCACAGAAUGUAGCUGAACAAGAGGAGGGUGAAUCCAAAGAGGAGUCAACUGUAGAUGUUAGUGUAGCUACUGGAAAAAAGGUUUAUAAAGAAACACUGGAAGAAAAUGAGCAAGAGUUAGAGCUUGCAGACCACCAUGGUGGUGGAUGUACUUCUGAAGAAGGUGUAAAUAAUUUCCUGGCACAGAAAGCUGAGUCGGAUGCAAAUGUUAGUGAACACAUUAUACUGGAGGAUCAAGCCAAGGGAAGACUGGAAGGUGGUGGUGAUGUCUUUGAUUUUGAUGAAGAGUCAAAACAGAUACUAGAAACUGAUAAAAAAUGUGAUGAAGAGAAAGCUUAUACACAGAAAUAUGAGGAUGAUGGAACAAAGGGUGCUGCUGGAAAAACGGCCCAAACAGAUGAAGCUGGAGAAGGAAAAGGCAAAAUAGAAACAGAAGACAUCUUGACUAAAGCUGACAGCUUGCAACAAAAAAAAGCUGAUGAGCCUGAAGAAACAGGGGAAGCAUCAUGGAGAACUGAGGAGAAGACUGAUGUGAUGGAAGAUGAAAUCAAAGCAUCAGAUUCUAAUAAAGUAGAAAAAAUACCAGAUGAAACUGUUAUGGAACAGGAUUUGGAAAGUGCUGGCAAUAACAGGGAAGAAAGCAAUGAGGACUUGCAGAGUGGUCGAAGGGGCAAGGGUAGAUCUAGAGAUGACUGUACAAUAUCCUAAGUUCAGAAUCCCAAGACUACAAAAGCUACAUGCCAUUUGAUCAGUCCCAGUACAGAGGCAUGCGCUUUGCACAAUAGAUCAGACCUUAAGAAUACUCUUAAAUUGGGUUUUUUUUUAAUAGGUAAUUCUCAUCAUAAUACAAUCUUAUGUAAGUGGUAAUGAUGCAAAUAUUAAGUUACUCACUGACAUACUGGGCCACAAGAAAUCGUGUGUGGGUUCAGUAUUGCUGUGUCUCAGGUUAAAAGUUUAUCACUGAAAAAGCAAGCUUCACAAAUCUUCACUAUCUUGCCAUUAAAACACUUUUAGUGUGGGUAACUGCUACUGAGUAAUUUCUAUAGGAAACUUUGUUUUUCUAGCCUAGAUGAUAGAUGUUUUGAAUAUACUUAAUGUGCCCUUUGUGCACUUGUGCGCAUACUUAUGUGUGCUUGCAUGCAUGAGAUCUACCCUAAGUACAUUACCACUUCACGAAGGAACUCAGUGGAUCAGCAACGCUGAUGUGAUUUUGAGCCUUCUUUCUGAAUGAUUGAAGCCUAGGAACCAAUUUGGUCCCCCCCGCCCCCGUUGGAAAAAGAUGAUCCUCUCAUUCCAUUUUUGUGUGUUUCUCAUAUGGUCAUAGUCCCAAGUAUAGUUAGGUCACUUUGAGCCUGUUCAGUCUAAACACUUCAGAAGGACAAUAUUCAGUUUGAAGAAAGCACAGCGUAUACACGUCUUAGUUUGCCAAAGGGAAUAAAUAUUACAUGUUUACUUCAUCUGGGCACUUUGCGCCACAUAGGCCUUUACUCCAUGGCUCACAUGGGGGUUUUUCUGUUUUUUUCUGAAGAAAGUGUUAGUACACUCUGUAAUGUAUGCUUAGAUUUGCUAUCAAGUACUGUGUAGUUAUGAAUAUAUAAAAUACCUAUUUUUUUCCAAGAAGAUUUUUGUUUAAAACUGCAUUUCUUUACACUUUUUUUUUUUUUCAAACUAUGAUUCUGAAAGAAUCUGAAAAAUUCUUUAUCUCUGGAAAGUUCUUACCUCUUCCUUUCUGGAAAGAAGAUAAAUUUGCAUGUCUUAAUUCUCACUGGACAUCAGACCAAAGACUAUUGUUAUUCUUUAUAGUAGCCCCUGUGCCUUUUUGAAAAGCUGGAUUGCUUUAAAUUGCUGGCAUAAAUGAAACAUUUUGACUCCAUUGGUCUGUUUCUUCUUGCAUUUUUGCUAGUGCUUGGGAGGAAGAGCAUGUCUUGCAUACUUAAAAAUCCAUUUAAAGUUGUUCUAAGCAAUGAACAUCCCAAGGAAAUGCAAAUUGAGGAAUUGGGGGGGGGGGGGGGGGCUAUGGAAGGUUGUAUUUGUGAUGUUGCAAAGUUGAUGGAGUACAAACAGACUGCAAAAUGUCAAGAUGUAUAUCAAAGUGUACUGAGCUGUAUAUAAUUGAAAUAAACAUUUUAUACUCUAAAUUGCCUGUCUAGAGCGCUGUUUAUAAACCUGCAUCAAUAUUUAUUUAAAUCUGUAUAAUGUAAAAAACAUUUUUUUUUUUUCUGCAGCUUUGUUUAAAUUGAUUGUGUUGCGCUACAUAGCUAGAAGACCUAUUUUACUAGGAAUGGGCAGCCUUGGUGUUUGAAGACUUUUAAUAUAUGAUAGCAGCCUUUACAGUUCUGUUACAGGUCAUAGGUAACCUGUAACCCUUUUUUUGUACGGCUUCUCUCCAACUUAGAACAGUUUCAGUAUGUUUUCCCUAAGUACUAGCAGUUGUUCUUAAGGAUUUACCUUAAAUGCUAAUCUAAAAAGUCAUAGACCGUAAAAGCAUCUUUCAUUACUGUGUGGUAGUGUUUAUUUAAAGAUUUGUCUCUGCUGUACUUGAAACAAUAAUGCAUGGUUUAAUGUUGAAAGUAUUUUAAAUGCAUUUGUAUUUAAAUGCUAAAUACAGUUAAAUAUAGAAUUAAACAUCCUCACCAGGCUUCACCUAUACUUGUGGAUGGAUCCAUAAGCAACUCUCAGUGAAAUUAGGAACAUGCCAGCAUUUUCUGUAUUUUUCAUACAAGUUUGUUUCUAAUAGAAAUGCUUCUGGAUAGUUGAGGAGAUACUGAACUAAUUUGAACAAGUUUUUCCACUCCAGAAAACAAAGUAUCUGUAAGAGAGGUCCUUUUUAAAGCCAAGUCACAGAAGGAGAAACAAUUCUAGUUUUAACUGACCAUUUACAAGCUUUUAUCCCACAGUAAGUGUCCGACUCUCAGCGAAACUAGAGUAGGAGCAAGAACAUCGGCAUAGCUGAUGUACUAGAAAUCCAUCCUUGAACGUUACUGCUUGGUACCUCUGUUGGUAGCUGGUCGCUGACUUCUGGAAUUGGGCAAGUACCAUGGAGGAAAAGGUCACUCGUUUCUUUUACCUCUUUCAUUUUUGCUUGAGUAUAUACGCACAUCAGGUGAGAGGCAGAGAUCUCCCAGAUAAAUCAGCUUCAAGAUAAAGGGAACUGCUAGAUGUUCUAUUCAAAAUUGAGUAAUUUAAAUAUUAUAUGCCAGCUAGCAUUGAGUGAAAUGUGUGCCAUUAAAAAGGAGAGGAGAUGGUGUCUCAGGAGGAAUUACCUAGAAAAUACAUCUUUUGUAAAGUUACACAGCUGAGAACAGUUUUUAGCAUUUUCCCUCUCAUAUCUAAUGGAAACACGAAAAGAUGCAGUUUGUCCCUGUAUUGGUUUUGACUUUUAAGGACAGCGAAAUAGCAGAUCAUUCUUUUCAUAGUCUAACAUGAAACCAAGAAAUCAUGAGAGGACCUAAAACCAAGAUUCAUAUUUUCUGCUAUUAUGUUACCCAUUUUGCUUUGGGCAGGGACAAUCUGAUGAGCACCACCUGCAGCGUGUAAGACUUGUCUCUCAAAAUAGCUCCAUAGCUCCAAAUGCUCACUGAGUUUUCUGUUCCAAACCUAGUGAUUGGCACGUGUGGCCUCUAAUCCUGAUUUGUGCAUUACUGUGAAUUUGGAGCUAGCUUGAAAUGCUUUCAAAAGCAGUAGCUGAAGAAACUCGUUUGCCUUAUUCAGUAAGUAAUAGUGAAAAACUUUGGUCGGUGUUUUCUUAUUACAGAAAGGAGCAGACCUCCUGUCCCUCUCAAAAUCAGUAUUGCAAGCUUGUUUCUUGAUCUUAUGCUCAUUCACUGACCCAACAGCCUGUCCUCAGCAGUGUCUCUCUUUUGGAAAGAGGGGAAAGUAUUUCCCAGAGUUUGUUAUUGUUGUCUCCUGGUGAUCCAGAAUAAAUCAGCAGAACUUGAAAAGGAGUAUUAUCCAACCUGCUAUUGAUCUCCUAGUUUGAUUCUUGGAGGCUGUAAUGAGUAGCUGCUUGGGGCUGCUGGUACGAUUUCGUGGGAUGUUUUCCCAUCCUCCAACUACAGUUUACCCCUUGCAAUUGCAUUGGGAUUAGUUACUUUCUGGGCCAUACAUCAUGCAAAUAAUUUGUGUUAAAAUCAGAUACUGUCCACCCUGGGCUCCUCUCCAGGUAGGAAGAUGCAUCAGGGAUCCGUGGCUGAUUAAGGGGUGUUAGGUCAACUGUGCCACUGGAACAGCACCCUAGUUAGUAAUACCUUCAGUCAAUUAUAGUAUCAAAGGAAUAAGAAUAGUAAUUUGACUUGCAAACAGGCCUGUACAAUAGCAGAAGACACUGGUAACCACCCCCACACACACCCUGUGUCCUGCUGUCUCCCAGGCCUUCCCAGGGCCCAGCUCCUUCCAUCUGCCUUCUGUUAAGCUCUUCGGUGUAUGAAAGCCAUGUAUUGGUGCAGUGACUAGCCAGGGAAUCAUGUUACCAAAGUUAAAUCUAAGUGAGAUGAGUGUCACAGUGCCAUUGUUCAUCUUUGCAUGUGAAAUAGGGAUGGUGACAGUUACAGAUGGACCAUUUUAAUUAGCUGCUUUGCGUCCUAAUUCAGUAGAUUGCUCUUUUCUGCUCACCUGUCCUCAAGGUCCUCAGAUCCUUGAUGUUGGAAAAAUGUCUCCUAACUGCAAAAUUAACGUGACUGCAGAGAUACCUGUUAAAGCUAAAGUAAGUUUUUUGUGUUAGUGUGAGGUUUUAAGAGAAUGAGACCCAAGAGACUUUUGCCCAUGCAUGCAGAAAAAUUUUCCACAUGAAUGGCAGUUUUAGCAAACUGAAUUUUUUUUCUGUGGUCUUGUAAAUUCUGAUGCGAGUGUGUUAUCUGCCCCAGUGGGCAGAUGUCCAUAAUGGGUGAAGAGAGAACUGACGGUGAGACAGAUUUGAAGGUCCAUCCCAAAACACAGGGAGAGGAGCUGGAAGAAUCUGACACGCUUCUUUACUGGAAACUAGAGGAGAUGUCCUUUUUUCAGGCGGGCAUUCUUCACCCCACAGCAGCACUUGUGUUAAUGAAAGUCACUUAGCUGAGUACAUGACUAAGUUAUUUUCAGGAUCAAGAUGGAUUAUUUGGACCCUUUGGAGUAAAUAAAUCUGGGCUAAUUUUGUAGGGCCUAAGAAUUUUCUUCUGCAUCAGUUCUCAUUCUCUUUCCAAUCCGUAGAACUUCAUUUCUCAGUCUCUGCCAACCUAUGACUUCAAGCCCUAUCUCCAAGUCUGAAUAUUGCUGACCUUUCUUUUACUUAUCCUGUCCUUGCUUUCUUCGUUGACCAUUAUUUUUCUUCCCUAUAUUUCAUCUUUCACAGAAUUUCUCUUAAGGUUCCUUUCCUUUUCAUAUAGAUAAGUGGAAUUGUGUGGUUAUUUUGAAGGGAUUUAUAUUUGUGAAUUUCUGUUACUCAUGGCAGGUUACAAAAAUCUGGUUUCUUUGUUCAUUUUUUUCAUAUCAAUGCUCAGGUGUAACAAUGGUGGGUGUGUUACAAAUGGCUGGGAGGAUAGGACUUGAGGAGGUUCAAAAUGAAUGCGUAGAACUGCUGAACUGGGAUGUCGCUUUAAGAUCUAUAUUUGUGUAUUGCAUCAGAAGUCAAGGUAAAGGUUUUAUUCCCUGCUUUAGAAAGACUGCUGAUAUAUGGGGACUUGUAUACCUAGGAGGGGAAUGACAUGACAUACCACGUUACUACUAGCUAAUGUCUGCCAUGUAGAGGGGCUCAUAUGAAAGCCAAGUUUCCCCAUGAUCUGAUUCAGUACAGACUUUAUUUCCUUUACUGCAUGUGUUAACAAGAAAAAAAGGGGAACCACAAGACUCUGGCACGUUCAUGAUUUGUCAGCAAACGAGAACUGGUAUUUUUAAGGCUUUUCAGAAAUACUUAAGUCUAUCAACAGAAUUCCCCUGGCAGAAGCCCACCAGAGUUUUCUCUGUAAUUUGUGAAUUGCUUUCCUUAAGUUUACAGAAAGACCUUUUUCUCAACUAACCAUUUAAUUAUCAGGCACAACCUUAGAUGUGGAGCUGAGUUCUGAACACCCUUGGUUCUGAACGGGUGACAACUUGCUGGCAAGGGAGGCAAGCUAAAUAAACCUGCAGAAAACAUUCAUGUCAAACUUGUGGAGUAAUACCCGUCUGAGGUCAAUAUAUCCUGUAUGUUGUACACAUAAGUAUAGUUGAAUGCUAUAUUCCAGUCUACUUCUGUUGAUGUGUAUCUGAACAAACUAAGGUUGCUAAUAAGGUAAAGUAACUUUAUUGAUAAGGAAAUUUGUGAGUACCUGCUAAAAUGCUUUCACAUUCUGCACCCCUUAAUAGGGAACGGAAAACCCAAGUGACUUGGUUACUUUCUAGUUCUUUUUGCCAGCUGUCUCGUUCUGUAGUGUGCACUUUAUUAAUGAAUGCCCCACACAUCCAUGUGUCGAUCUGUAGCACUUCUAAGUUCAAGUGUAGCACAACAGCUGGUCCAGAUUGUCCAUUGCCUACUUGAUGUUUGACCAGGAGAAUUGGCUAUGAAGGUUUAAAGAGAAAAGAAAGCUUUACCAGACUGCUGUUAGAAACAAAAAAUAAUUGAAUGGGCAAAGGUUUGUUCUGGUCAUAAUAUUGGACAUAAUACAAAAUGCCAUUGCCAUGCUGUUUAGUAAAAGAAGUGAUGAUGUAAAGUGCUGAGAAUGUGCUUAGCUACAAUUAUAGGUGUCUACAGUAUUUUCAGUAUGCUAAACUGUAAAGAUUUGAGAUAUUUUGUGUUGCAGUUGUGUUUGACCCUAGAGUUCUUGCAUGCUAACCUAACGUAGAAGAUUAGCCUCUUUGCAUGCAGCUGGGUGCUGCUACUGCCGUGACAAGCAUGUUCUGUGAGAAUGACAUAACCUCCCUUGGCUGCAGCCCCUUCCCAGCCCUGUCUGUGGCCUCGUUUCCUGUGACAGGCUGAAAAAACUCAUUGAUGAACGAGAAUCCUUACUAGACCAGGU